Molecule: long non-coding RNA, 659 nt
Filed under: Homo sapiens (human)
Lineage: Eukaryota; Metazoa; Chordata; Mammalia; Primates; Hominidae
Description: non-protein coding lnc-NCOA3-30:1
Source: RNAcentral
AGAGAACAGCCAGGUUAACCCAUACGGUGGCCCCACACUAAGUUGUCUCCCACACCGUGUAGGGAUGGCUCAGUGCACAGGGAGCAUGGUGGGGUUUGGGCUUGAUGGCUUUGAAGCCUCUGCUAGACUGGGAGGCACACAGUUUGGUACCAUGUCUGGAUGCAACGUCAUGUUCCUGAGGCAGGAUGGUGCUUGUGUACCGAAGACAGUCUUGCUGGCUGCGGUGAAGGACAGAGCUCUCGGUGGAUCCAGUGGGAACCAAAGCCUGCUGUAACCCUCCAAUAGUAACAGCCAUCCGCUCAACCUCUGGGCCCAGGCACGCCUCACAGGAGCUCUCUACGGGCACUGUCUCAUCCAUAAUGAAUUAGGUAUCAGUGUCUGGUUUUUAGAGAUUCGGAAACUGAGGCCAGAGCAUUCUAAUGUCCUAAGCACAUUCAUGGUGAGUAGGAGCAGAGCUGGCUUCCACCUGCAGGGUCUGAGUCUAGGGUCAGUGCUCAUAGCCACGAUUCUCGUAGGCUACCCAGGCCCACUGUCUCCUUGAGCACCCAUGUGCCCCAUGCAGCAUGUAACUUGUAGGAAAUGAAGGCGUUUGCCAGCCUUUGCCUGUGUCCAGUGUGAACUCAUCUCCUAUUUAGCACAAAGUUAUUACAUUAGAGUUA